GAUGAACGCUGGCGGCGUGCCUAAUACAUGCAAGUCGAGCGAACAGACGAGGGGCUUGCUCCUCUGACGUUAGCCGCGCACGGGUGAGUAACAUGUGGAUAACCUACCUAUAUGACUGGGAUAACUUCGGGAAACCGGCUCUAAUACCGGAUAAUCUACUGAACCGCAUUGUGCAGUAGUGAAAGACGGUGUUGCUGUCACUUAUAGAUGCCUCCCAGCCGCAUUAGCUAGUUGGUAAGGUAACAGCUUACCAAGGCAACGAUGCGUAGCCGACCUGAGAGGGUGAUCGGCCACACUGGAACUGAGACACGGUCCAGGCUACUACGAGAGGCAGCAGUAGGGAAUCUGCCGCAAUGGGCGGAAGCUUGACGGAGCAACGCCGCGUGAGUGAUGAAGGUCUUCGGAUCGUAAAGCUCUGCUAUUAGGGAAGAACAAAUGUGUAAGUAACUAAGCACGUAUUGACGGUACCUAAUCAGAAAGCCACGGCUAACUACGUG
This 497-nucleotide ribosomal RNA is filed under the name uncultured bacterium. RNAcentral describes it as "partial 16S ribosomal RNA". It matches the Rfam family "Bacterial small subunit ribosomal RNA", at positions 28 to 507 of the family's 1533-position model. The record is from RNAcentral.